UGGGGAAUAUUGCACAAUGGGCGCAAGCCUGAUGCAGCCAUGCCGCGUGUGUGAAGAAGGCCUUCGGGUUGUAAAGCACUAUCAGCGGGGAGGAAGGCGGUGAGGUUAAUAACCUCAUCGAUUGACGUUACCCGCAGAAGAAGCACCGGCUAACUCCGUGCCAGCAGCCGCGGUAAUACGGAGGGUGCAAGCGUUAAUCGGAAUUACUGGGCGUAAAGCGCACGCAGGCGGUCUGUCAAGUCGGAUGUGAAAUCCCCGGGCUCAACCUGGGAACUGCAUGCGAAACUGGCAGGCUAGAGUCUUGUAGAGGGGGGUAGAAUUCCAGGUGUAGCGGUGAAAUGCGUAGAGAUCUGGAGGAAUACCGGUGGCGAAGGCGGCCCCCUGGACAAAGACUGACGCUAAGGUGCGAAAGCGUGGGGAGCAAACAGG
This 429-nucleotide ribosomal RNA is filed under the name Chloroflexota bacterium. Its description in RNAcentral is "Chloroflexi bacterium partial 16S ribosomal RNA". It matches the Rfam family "Bacterial small subunit ribosomal RNA", at positions 355 to 776 of the family's 1533-position model. Lineage: Bacteria; Bacillati; Chloroflexota. The record is from RNAcentral.